UGCCUCCUGCUUACUACAGUCUGUGUUCUUACACUGACAGUAUAUAGAAAGGAGGCAAAGUAUACCUACCCCAUAUACCUCAGGCCAGGCCCUGUUCCUGGUCUGUAUCAUUGUUAAAUUU
Molecule: small nucleolar RNA, 121 nt
Filed under: Castor canadensis (American beaver)
Lineage: Eukaryota; Metazoa; Chordata; Mammalia; Rodentia; Castoridae
Description: Small nucleolar RNA SNORA51 (ENSCCNG00000001221.1)
Rfam family: Small nucleolar RNA SNORA51
About the family: ACA51 is a member of the H/ACA class of snoRNA that guide the sites of modification of uridines to pseudouridines.
Source: RNAcentral